GGACAUUUUGCUGUUUUUGGUUAUUAUUUUGAAUAUUAUUAUAGAUAGAGAUAUACGGUAAACAACAAUUAUGUUCAACAAAGUAAGAUUUACAAAUAAGUCAACAUGACCUAAAUGGUCAAUUGACCCCCUAAGGAGUUAUUGUCCUUUAAAGUCAAUUAUUAACAAUUUUCCACUGAAACUACUGGGCCAAGUAUAUUAUAGAUAGAGAUAAUUGUAAGCAGCAAGAAUGUUCAGUAAAGUAAGAUGUACAAACACAUCAAGUGAUGUUUUUAUAACGGCAUGCAAUUAAAUUGUUGGUAACACAAUUUGAGCACAUCAAAUGGACCAGAGUGAUACCAUAUUUUUGUUAAUGUCCUCUACGAAACGGGUCAAAUCUCCUUCAGUAACUGGUUUUAAAAUAUGACAAAAUUAUCAAUGUACCGCUUAAUACAUGCUUUGAUGAAUACAUCAGUCUUUCUACUAUUGCAAUAUAGGGAUUGUGGAGGGAAAUAAAAAAUGUGAAUAUGUACCCUACGAAACGGUCACCUACGAAACAAGUAUGAGAGAAAAACGUUUCGUAGUGGACAAUAUAGCUACCACUACCAUGCAGUCUUUUUUUACUCUUUUAGCAAUUUUAUUCGUGCAAAACAAAUAACAAGGGUUAGUUUCAUGUAAUUUUUAUUAUGUUUUUAUCAACAUAGAAUAGGGUUGAUGUCAACUACGAAACUGAUUGUCCACUACGAAACGGUUUUGUCAACUACACAAACGCAUCAAAAUGUCCACUACGUAACAUGAGUUGUACCUUCAUAUGUGAAGUGCUGUCUAAUCUUUAUCGAUACAAAAUGGUUCUCCAAUUCAGAAUAAAUGAGAAUAAAAGUAGUUUUAAAUAUGUUUACCGGAAAUUAAAACAGAAAUAUUCUUGUCUUUUGAAAUCUGAACUUUACAAUGAAAGGCAAAUUAAACAGCAUGGAAAUAAACUAAGAAUUUAAAGAUUAUUUAAAGAAAACAUGUAUAUGGAAAAAUACUUAUUAAUUUCAAAUGAGGAUGAAAGGCGACUGCUUGCUAGGUUCAAAGUCAGAGCACAUAAAUUAGAAAUUGAAAGAGGGAGAUAUGUGGGGCUUCAGAAUAGAAAUUCUUUGAUAUUUUAAGAUAAAUCAUGAUGCUUUCAAUAAAUUAUCAUAAAACAAUUGAAAUAUUUCCAAAACUCACCAUUAUAGACACUUAAAUUAGAUGAGAGCCUUCUGCUCAUCAUCAAUACACGUGGCAUUCUUUAAUUAUCCGAUCAUCUCAACUUUCACGUGAUCUUGUUUUGAUCAAAAGGUAAGGUUAACGAUAAACCUAAAAUCAAAAGCGGACAAUAGAUAGUACAAAUUCCGUAAUCACGUAAUAUGAGGAAACUGCAAAAGACAAAUUGUCAAAAUCAAUGUAUUUAUAUAUUAUUAUUGUAUAACUAAUCAUAAUUAAUAGUUAAUAUUUUUACUGUAUAAUCUCCCUGGUUAAACAGUAACUAAUUUACAGGGAUACUCGACUGAAUGCUGUGAGUCGGGUAAGUUGUAAACAGCAGGGAAUAUGUUGAGAAUUAUGUGCAAUAAAGGAUUUAUUUUAUUAAAAAAAAAAAAAAAAAAAUUUCCUCAGAAAAAAAAAAAAAAAAAAAAAAAAGAUAUGUGGGGCUUCGAGUGGAGGAUAGAAUAUGUAAAUUAUAUACCAC
Molecule: long non-coding RNA, 1690 nt
Filed under: Mytilus galloprovincialis (Mediterranean mussel)
Lineage: Eukaryota; Metazoa; Mollusca; Bivalvia; Mytilida; Mytilidae
Source: RNAcentral